UCUUGAUCCAAGGGGCGAGAAAGCCCCUGCGGACGGCCCUAACCCAGCCGGCGCCCGCCGGCGCCGUGGAGCAGCGGUGCCGGAAGAGGGGCGGAGGUGUUCCUCGGCACCACUAUCGGCAGCUCUGCGGCGGCACCGCCGGCUUAAGCUCCAGGUUGCUGAUGCGCCAUGCCGGUAGCUAUUCCUUAGUUCGAUCAUCCGUUUCGCCGGUUGAAUACAGAUGUAGAAGGUCCAAAAUUCUCAGGGGUGAUCAUGGAGGUCCAGCCUGUUUCCCCAUUUCUAGUGCUCUGACGGAAUCGCGCUUAUUUCCUCCAGCAAUGGUCGGCAGUUCCGGUGUUGCAGUUCUGAAAAGUUAGUCUGAGAAGCAGGUGUAUGCUACUGGAUGAGGCAUGGAGGUGUACAAUCAUCUUAACUCCUGGUAUGAAUAUGAUACAAAAUCCAGGCCUUAGCUGUACAAUGCGGACAUCAAAGAGACAAUGACUGGUAUUAGUAACUAAAGGAAAAGGAUUUAUCUUAUCUGGAGGAGUGGACUGGCAGUAUGCAAAGGAGCUAAAAUAUUCAGCUUUGGCUUUUAAGGUGAGUGGGAGCAAUUGCACAAGCAGUUGCAUGUCACUUUCCCUCCUUUUGGCCAUGCCUGCCUCCACUUUUUUGCAUCGCUUUCUUGGUCCAAUUAUCCCAAAACCAAAAGGGCAAAAAAGGAACAGGGAAAAGGAAAUUGCAAAAAGGACUGAUGCCCAGAACACAACAAAGAAAUCGGAUACUGUUUUUCAUGCUCCCUGCCUAUCCUGAAAUAAAAUACAUAAGUAUAAGGUAUACUUUUAGAAUAUAUCCUGAAUCUAGUGGACUACCAAAGAAAAAAAAGAAAAUUUUCGUUCAAGACCUCGUUAACAAGCUACUGAAGAAUAAAAUACCUCAAGCAAUAUAUUCCUUCUUUAUAUUAAUUAUUUAUUAUCUACAACCAGGGACCACAUUGAUCUCCUGGUCUUUCUCCAACCCAAAUAGCUAAUUCUAUGUACAUGCGGCCACUACCUAUUACAAGUCCAGAAGUAGCUAUUUUUACACAUACACUCUGUUUCCCUUCC
Molecule: long non-coding RNA, 1082 nt
Organism: Setaria italica (foxtail millet)
Lineage: Eukaryota; Viridiplantae; Streptophyta; Magnoliopsida; Poales; Poaceae
Exons: 5
Source: RefSeq, a predicted model, not a curated record